Molecule: ribosomal RNA, 233 nt
Filed under: uncultured bacterium
Lineage: Bacteria
Description: partial 16S ribosomal RNA
Rfam family: Bacterial small subunit ribosomal RNA
Source: RNAcentral
CGGGACGGAUGAGUAAUGUCUGGGAAACUGCCCGAUGGAGGGGGGUAACUACUGGAAACGGUAGCUAAUACCGCAUAACGUCGCAAGACCAAAGAGGGGGACCUUAGGGCCUCUUGCCAUCGGAUGUGCCCAGAUGGGAUUAGCUAGUAGGUGGGGUAACGGCUCACCUAGGCGACGAUCCCUAGCUGGUCUGAGAGGAUGACCAGCCACACUGGAACUGAGACACGGUCCAG